This 497-nucleotide ribosomal RNA is filed under the name uncultured bacterium. RNAcentral describes it as "partial 16S ribosomal RNA". It matches the Rfam family "Bacterial small subunit ribosomal RNA", at positions 28 to 507 of the family's 1533-position model. The record is from RNAcentral.
GAUGAACGCUGGCGGCGUGCCUAAUACAUGCAAGUCGAGCGAACGGACGAGAAGCUUGCUUCUCUGAUGUUAGCGGCGGACGGGUGAGUAACACGUGGAUAACCUACCUAUAAGACUGGGAUAACUUCGGGAAACCGGAGCUAAUACCGGAUAAUAUUUUGAACCGCAUGGUUCAAAAGUGAAAGACGGUCUUGCUGUCACUUAUAGAUGGAUCCGCGCUGCAUUAGCUAGUUGGUAAGGUAACGGCUUACCAAGGCAACGAUGCAUAGCCGACCUGAGAGGGUGAUCGGCCACACUGGAACUGAGACACGGCCCAGACUCCUACAGGAGGCAGCAGUAGGGAAUCUUCCGCAAUGGGCGAAAGCCUGACGGAGCAACGCCGCGUGAGUGAUGAAGGUCUUCGGAUCGUAAAACUCUGUUAUUAGGGAAGAACAUAUGUGUAAGUACCUGUGCACAUCUUGACGGUACCUAAUCAGAAAGCCACGGCUAACUACGUG